AGCAGCCGCGGUAAUUCCAGCUCCAAUAGCGUAUAUUAAAGUUGUUGCAGUUAAAAAGCUCGUAGUUGAAUUUUGGAUUCUUCCAAUUGGUCCAUCUUUUAGAUGAGUACUGGUUGUGUGGGGUCUAUCCGCCUGGUGAUACGUAAUGUCCUUUAUUGGAUGUUGUGGGUAGUCAGGACCUUUACCUUGAAAAAAUUAGAGUGUUUAAAGCAGGCUUAUGCCGGAAUACAUUAGCAUGGAAUAAUAGAAUGGGACGAAGUUGUUUAUUUUGUUGGUUUCUAGGACAACCGUAAUGAUUAAUAGGGAUAGUUGGGGGCAUUAGUAUUCAAUUGUCAGAGGUGAAAUUCUUGGAUUUAUUGAAGACUAACUACUGCGAAAGCAUUUGCCAAGGAUGUUUUCAUUAAUCAAGAACGAAGUUAGGGAUCGAAGACGAUCAGAUACCGUCGUAGUCUUAACCAUAAACCUAUGACCGACUAGGGAUCGGGGCGAGUGUUGUUUCCAUGACUCGCUUCGGCUACCU
RNAcentral lists this ribosomal RNA (520 nucleotides) under uncultured Archaeosporaceae. RNAcentral describes it as "SSU rRNA". It matches the Rfam family "Eukaryotic small subunit ribosomal RNA", at positions 569 to 1088 of the family's 1831-position model. The record is from RNAcentral. Lineage: Eukaryota; Fungi; Glomeromycota; Glomeromycetes; Archaeosporales; Archaeosporaceae.